GUCAAUGUGGUACCAGAAAUUUCGGCAAAGAAAGGACAAGACAAAGUCAACGGGAGUUAGCUCGAAAAUUACGGUUUAGUAAAGAUAGAACGUUGAAUCAGCAUCCUAGUUCGAUCCCGAAUUCAUUAAGGUAAAGUGUGUUAAUUAUUGGUAAUGGCAUGUACCUAGGAUGUUUUAUGAGAGUCAUUUAGGUUGUAGAUGUACUCAUGAAAUGAGUAAAUUAUGGUUGGCAAUGGUAUGUAGUAUGAAUUUUGAAAUUUACUAAAAAUUCGUAGUGAUUCUAAA
This is a long non-coding RNA of Gossypium arboreum, 285 nucleotides long. RefSeq lists it as uncharacterized. The transcript has 2 exons. The record is from RefSeq and is a predicted model, not a curated record. NCBI's taxonomy places the organism in Eukaryota, Viridiplantae, Streptophyta, Magnoliopsida, Malvales, Malvaceae.